CCCGACCGUAGCGAAAGUGUUAAAGUGCGCCCCCCUGGGGAGUAUGGUCCCAAGGCUGAAACUCCAAAGGAAUUGACGGGGGCUCACACAAGCGGUGGAGGAUGUGGCUUAAUUCGAAGGCUACGCGAAGAACCUUAUCCAGGCCUUGACAUGUACGGAUGCUGCCCGUGAAAGCGGGUUCGUUGCUUCGGGUGAAACGUACACAGGUGCUGCAUGGCUGUCGUCAGCUCGUGUCGUGAGAUGUCGGGUUAAGUCCCUUAACGAGCGAAACCCUUGUCCCUAGUUGCCAGCGUGUCAUGUCGGGGACUCUAGGGAGACUGCCGGUGUUAAACCGGAGGAAGGUGGGGAUGACGUCAAGUCCUCAUGGCCUUUAUGGUCUGGGCUGCACACGUCCUACAAUGGCAUAUACAAAGGGAAGCUACCUCGCGAGAGCAAGCAAAUCCCAUAAAGUAUGCCCCAGUUCGGAUGCAGGCUGCAACUCGCCUGCAUGAAGCCGGAAUCGCUAGUAAUCGUGGAUCAACAUGCCACGGUGAAUAUGUUCCUGAGCCUUGUACACACCGCCCGUCAAGCACGAAAGUGGGGAGGGCUUAAAGUCGCUGA
Molecule: ribosomal RNA, 600 nt
Filed under: uncultured bacterium
Lineage: Bacteria
Description: bacterial SSU rRNA
Rfam family: Bacterial small subunit ribosomal RNA
Source: RNAcentral